RNAcentral lists this ribosomal RNA (301 nucleotides) under uncultured bacterium. RNAcentral's name for it is "partial 16S ribosomal RNA". It matches the Rfam family "Bacterial small subunit ribosomal RNA", at positions 509 to 807 of the family's 1533-position model. The record is from RNAcentral.
CAGUCGCCACGGUAAAACGUAGGUGGCAAGCGUUAUCCGGAAUUAUUGGGCGUAAAGCGCGCGUAGGCGGUUUUUUAAGUCUGAUGUGAAAGCCCACGGCUCAACCGUGGAGGGUCAUUGGAAACUGGAAAACUUGAGUGCAGAAGAGGAAAGUGGAAUUCCAUGUGUAGCGGUGAAAUGCGCAGAGAUAUGGAGGAACACCAGUGGCGAAGGCGACUUUCUGGUCUGUAACUGACGCUGAUGUGCGAAAGCGUGGGGAUCAAACAGGAUUAGAUACCCCUGUAGUCCCUGUCUCUUAUAC